UGGGGAAUAUUGCACAAUGGGGGAAACCCUGAUGCAGCAACGCCGCGUGAGUGACGAAGGCCUUCGGGUUGUAAAACUCUGUCUUAGCUGACGAUAAUGACGGUAAGCUAGGAGGAAGCCACGGCUAACUACGUGCCAGCAGCCGCGGUAAUACGUAGGUGGCGAGCGUUGUCCGGAUUUACUGGGCGUAAAGGGAGCGUAGGCGGUUUUUUAAGUGGGGUGUGAAAUCCCUGGGCUUAACCCAGGAAUUGCAUUCCAAACUGGAAGACUAGAGUGCAGGAGAGGAAAGUGGAAUUCCAAGUGUAGCGGUGAAAUGCGUAGAGAUUUGGAGGAACACCAGUGGCGAAGGCGACUUUCUGGACUGUAACUGACGCUGAGGCUCGAGAGCGUGGGGAGCAAACA
RNAcentral lists this ribosomal RNA (402 nucleotides) under uncultured Caloramator sp. Its description in RNAcentral is "bacterial SSU rRNA". It matches the Rfam family "Bacterial small subunit ribosomal RNA", at positions 355 to 774 of the family's 1533-position model. RNAcentral also lists the same sequence under 1 other name. Lineage: Bacteria; Bacillati; Bacillota; Clostridia; Eubacteriales; Clostridiaceae. The record is from RNAcentral.